AUGAACGCUGGCGGCGUGCUUAACACAUGCAAGUCGAACGGAAAGGCUCCUGCCUGCAGGGGUACUCGAGUGGCGAACGGGUGAGUAACACGUGGGUGAUCUGCCCUGUACUUCGGGAUAAGCUUGGGAAACUGGGUCUAAUACCGGAUAUGACAAUCUCUUGGAUGGGGUUGUGGAAAGCUUUUGCGGUAUGGGAUGAGCUCGCGGCCUAUCAGCUUGUUGGUGGGGUAAUGGCCUACCAAGGCGUCGACGGGUAGCCGGCCUGAGAGGGUGUACGGCCACAUUGGGACUGAGAUACGGCCCAGACUCCUACGGGAGGCAGCAGUGGGGAAUAUUGCACAAUGGGCGCAAGCCUGAUGCAGCGACGCCGCGUGGGGGAUGACGGCCUUCGGGUUGUAAACUCCUUUCGCAACCGACGAAGCUUUUGUGACGGUAGGUUGAGAAGAAGCACCGGCUAACUACGUG
This 465-nucleotide ribosomal RNA is filed under the name uncultured bacterium. RNAcentral describes it as "partial 16S ribosomal RNA". It matches the Rfam family "Bacterial small subunit ribosomal RNA", at positions 29 to 507 of the family's 1533-position model. The record is from RNAcentral.